AACGAACGCUGGCGGCGCGCCUAAUACAUGCAAGUCGAGCGAGAAGACGUAGCAAUACGUUUGUAAAGCGGCGAACGGGUGAGGAAUACAUGGGUAACCUACCCUCGAGUGGGGAAUAACUAGCCGAAAGGUUAGCUAAUACCGCGUACGCUCCUUGGACUUCGGUUCAGGGAGGAAAGCGAUACCGUGGGUAUCGCGCUCUUGGAUGGGCCCAUGUCCUAUCAGCUUGUUGGUGAGGAACGGCUCACCAAGGCUUCGACGGUAGCUGGUCUGAGAGGACGAUCAGCCACACUGGCACUGCGACACGGGCCAGACUCCUACGGGAGGCAGCAGUAA
Molecule: ribosomal RNA, 336 nt
Filed under: uncultured bacterium
Lineage: Bacteria
Description: bacterial SSU rRNA
Rfam family: Bacterial small subunit ribosomal RNA
Source: RNAcentral